UUUGGGACUUACAAAGGUAUUGUAAUAAGACUUUAAUUGAGUGCUAAAAGAAUGGAAUUACAAAAAAAGGCUUUUUUAAUUUUAAAAAUUAAAAUUAUUUUUUUUUGUGAAGAAACAAAAAUUUAAAUUAAAGACAAGAAGACCCUAAGAAUUUUUUUUUUUAUUAAAAUAAAAUUUUAUUUUAAAAAUUUAAUUGGGGCGAUUAAUUAAAAUUAAAAACUUUAUUAACAAAAAAAAUGAUCCAUUAUUAAUGAUUAUUUGAUUAAAAUACUCUUGGGAUAACAGCGUAAUAAUUUUUGAUAGUUCUUAUAAAAAAAAUAAUUUGCGACCUCCAUGUUGGAUUAGGAUUCUUUUUUAAUGAAAAAGUUAAAAAAAAAAGUUUGUUCAACUUUUAAAUUCCUACUUGAUCUGAGUUCAAACCGGACGG
This 427-nucleotide ribosomal RNA is filed under the name Amblyomma dissimile (iguana tick). Its description in RNAcentral is "partial large subunit ribosomal RNA". Lineage: Eukaryota; Metazoa; Arthropoda; Arachnida; Ixodida; Ixodidae. The record is from RNAcentral.